Molecule: unclassified non-coding RNA, 329 nt
Filed under: soil metagenome
Description: partial contains 5.8S ribosomal RNA, internal transcribed spacer 2, and large subunit ribosomal RNA
Rfam family: 5.8S ribosomal RNA (bases 1-120)
Source: RNAcentral
GAUGAAGAACGUAGCGAAAUGCGAUAAGUAAUGUGAAUUGCAGAAUUCAGUGAAUCAUCGAAUCUUUGAACGCACAUUGCGCCCUCUGGUAUUCCGGGGGGCAUGCCUGUUCGAGCGUCAUUAUAACCACUCAAGCUUUCGCUUGGUAUUGGGGCUCGCGGUUCCGCGGCCCCUAAAAUCAGUGGCGGUGCCUGUCGGCUCUACGCGUAGUAAUACUCCUCGCGAUUGAGUCCGGUAGGUCUACUUGCCAGCAACCCCCAAUUUUUACAGGUUGACCUCGGAUCAGGUAGGGAUACCCGCUGAACUUAAGCAUAUCAAUAAGCGGAGGA